This 460-nucleotide ribosomal RNA is filed under the name uncultured bacterium. Its description in RNAcentral is "partial 16S ribosomal RNA". It matches the Rfam family "Bacterial small subunit ribosomal RNA", at positions 338 to 795 of the family's 1533-position model. The record is from RNAcentral.
CCUACGGGCGGCAGCAGUGAGGAAUAUUGGUCAAUGGGCGCGAGCCUGAACCAGCCAAGUAGCGUGAAGGAUGACUGCCCUACGGGUUGUAAACCUCUUUUAUAAAGGAAUAAAGUGAGGCACGCGUGCCUCUUCGCAUGUACUUUAUGAAUAAGGAUCGGCUAACUCCGUGCCAGCAGCCGCGGUAAUACGGAGGAUCCGAGCGUUAUCCGGAUUUAUUGGGUUUAAAGGGAGCGUAGAUGGGUUGUUAAGUCAGUUGUGAAAGUUUGCGGCUCAACCGUAAAAUUGCAAUUGAUACUGGCAGCCUUGAGUACGGUUGAGGUAGGCGGAAUGCGUGGUGUAGCGGUGAAAUGCUUAGAUAUCACGAAGAACUCCGAUUGCGAAGGCAGCCUGCUAAGCUGCCACUGACAUUGAUGCUCGAAAGUGUGGGUAUCGAACAGGAUUAGAUACCCGUGUAGUC